Long non-coding RNA from Culicoides brevitarsis, 726 nucleotides. RefSeq lists it as uncharacterized. The record is from RefSeq and is a predicted model, not a curated record. NCBI's taxonomy places the organism in Eukaryota, Metazoa, Arthropoda, Insecta, Diptera, Ceratopogonidae. The transcript is spliced from 3 exons.
AUCAUCAUCGCAUCGCAUCGCCUCGCAACUCGUCAUCAUCAGCAGCAGCAACAAAACAUCAAAAAACCGAACGAAAAAAAUUUUGUACACGAAGAAAUUCUGUUUACAAUUCUAGUUGUAGACUGCCUGAACGAAGAAGUGUGAGGCAUGUGCGUGCUUGUUUUUAAAAUAAAUUCAAUUUUUUUUUCUUUGUAGAUACUACUUUGGGUCUACUACAAAGAAAGAAAAAAAAAAUGGUGUGUGAUAAGCGGAAUAAUUUUUUUCAACGACUCAUGUUUUAUUACUAUUUUUUUUUUCUUGUUCAGUGUGAAGAAUGCGAAAGGUCGUUGUGAUAAAACUUCGUGCUGCUGGGCAUUUCUUCGGACAUUUAAAUGUUAUCUUAUUUACCUGUAACGAUGAUGAUGCGACGAGCACGAGGCGAACGAGCGAGACAAGUCAUUAUUAUCUUUUGUUUUUUUUUUGUCACAGUUCAUUGUUUGAGGUUCAUUUACCUGCCAUGGAAUUCAGUUAUAUUAUUUUGCAUGCAGGCUCUGCUCUGCCUGCCGAUCGAAAGCAGCAACAAUAAAAAAAAAAGUAAAAUAAACCGAAUGGAGUGUAGUACGACGUUGUUGAUGAUGAUGAUGAAAAAGAAAAUGGAAAUAUGGGCUUCUAAAAUUAUUUGAAACACUUCGACACAUUUAAUAAAAAAAAAAAAUAAAUGUUCGCCUGCACACAGAAUAAAGCAAU